Molecule: long non-coding RNA, 1315 nt
Filed under: Sorghum bicolor (sorghum)
Lineage: Eukaryota; Viridiplantae; Streptophyta; Magnoliopsida; Poales; Poaceae
Description: long non-coding RNA (SBIC_LNC013321)
Source: RNAcentral
ACCAUAAUAUAAUAUUGCAUAUAUGAUUGCUAGGUUUAGUACAUUGAUGCGCUUAGAGCACUAAUAAGUAAUGCUAGUGGAAACAACACAACUGAUCCACUCCAUUGACACUAUGGCAUCAUUAUACAGCACUCGCUAACAAAUGCUUGAGACAUGCAGAUCAAGGAAGCAACAUGAUUAAUUCUAGUAACUAAUAAUUCGUCAACCAUCACAACAAUCAAACCAUGUAGUGUAACAAAACCAGCAGCAAAUUCAUGGACCCCCAAGAGUGAUCCUACCACAAACCCCUCUAUGAUCAGACACUUCCUUCUUGAUUUAGGAGACUAUGCACUUCAUGCAUUUGCACUUGGUCCCUCAUCUGUAGAUGCCGUUCCCAGUGCUGUAGAAACACAAACAAAAAUAAUGAAAACGGCAUCAGCAGAUUGAAACAUGGAUUUGCCACCAAUGAAACAUUUGUUUAUUCAUAACCACAAGGGCCCACAAGGUCCUGCUAAUGGUUAACCAAACAGCGCUUGCAUAGUAGAGUCGAUAAGAUAAGGUAGGCUCAAAAUCUGGAGAAACACUUCUCUUUGUUCAGCACAUAUUAUCCACAUUCUUCAUUUGAUGUCUAAAACUGCUAAAGUACAACAAAAGGAACAUAUAUAUAUAUAUAUAUAUAUAUAUAUAUAUAUAUAUAUAUAUAUAUAUAUAUAUAUAUAUAUAAGGUUAAAGGAUAGUAGCUGGAGGGUAACUCAUGUAGGCAAUAACUUUUUUGGUCUUUAUCUGCUAGAUAAGUUCCAACCUUGGCCAAAAUAAUACCAAUCAUCAGAGCCCCAUAUCCAUCGAUCAGCUACAUGUAUAUCAGGCCUUGUUUAGUUCUAUUUUUUUUUCAAAAUAGACAUUGUAGCACUUUCGUUUGUAUUUGACAAAUAUUUAUUGUUUAAUCAUAAACUAAGUAAGCUCAAAAGAUUCAUCUCUCAAAUUAUAGGCAAAUUGUAUAAUAUACUCUAUGCAUGUGCUGCAAGAUUCGAUGUGACGAGAGAAAUCUAAAAAAUUUUACAUUUUUUUUUAAAACUAAACAAAGCCUAUCUUGAAUGACACAUAUCACCAAUGCCUACGUAAGCCCUUACCGGUCGCACGUUGUCACGCCAUAUUUUGGCGGCGUCGUACAGGGUAGGGGUAGCUGGGGCCGUAGUCGGCGGUGGCUGCGCCGACCAUCGCCGUCCGGCGAACUAUCCUGUCGGACCUCGGGACCACCGGCGGCAUCGCUGCAAUGGGCGUGGUCGCUGGAGUCUGGAGGAUGCUGGCUUGGGCCCUUUUUAAACACGAGAUUCGG